Molecule: ribosomal RNA, 597 nt
Filed under: Rhodotorula glutinis
Lineage: Eukaryota; Fungi; Basidiomycota; Microbotryomycetes; Sporidiobolales; Sporidiobolaceae
Description: eukaryotic LSU rRNA
Rfam family: Eukaryotic large subunit ribosomal RNA
Source: RNAcentral
GCAUAUCAAUAAGCGGAGGAAAAGAAACUAACAAGGAUUCCCCUAGUAGCGGCGAGCGAAGCGGGAAGAGCUCAAAUUUAUACUCUGGCACCUUCGGUGUCCGAGUUGUAAUCUCUAGAAGUGUUUUCCGCGUUGGACCGCACACAAGUCUGUUGGAAUACAGCGGCAUAGUGGUGAAACCCCCGUAUAUGGUGCGGACGCCCAGCGCUUUGUGAUACACUUUCAAUGAGUCGAGUUGUUUUGGGAAUGCAGCUCAAAUUGGGUGGUAAAUUCCAUCUAAAGCUAAAUAUUGCCGAGAGACCGAUAGCGAACAAGUCACCGUGAGGGAAAGAUGAAAAGCACUUUGGAAAGAGAGUUAACAGUACGUGACAUUGUUGGAAGGGAAACGCUUGAAGUCAGACUUGCUUGCCGGAGCUUGCUUCGGUUUGCAGGCCAGCAUCAGUUUUCCGGGGUGGAUAAUAACGGUUUGAAGGUAGCAGUCUCGGCUGUGUUAUAGCUUUCCGUUGGAUACAUCCUGGGGGACUGAGGAACGCAGCGUGCUUUUUGCGAAAGACUCGUCUUUUUCACGCUUAGGAUGCUGGUGGAAUGGCUUUAAAG